RNAcentral lists this unclassified non-coding RNA (216 nucleotides) under plant metagenome. RNAcentral describes it as "partial contains small subunit ribosomal RNA and internal transcribed spacer 1". The stretch from base 1 to 46 matches the Rfam family "Eukaryotic small subunit ribosomal RNA", at positions 1786 to 1831 of the family's 1831-position model. The record is from RNAcentral.
AAGUCGUAACAAGGUUUCCGUAGGUGAACCUGCGGAAGGAUCAUUACCGAAGUACAGGCCCUCUCGAGGGCUAAACUUCCACCCUUUGUUAACUAUACUUUGUUGCUUUGGCGAGACGCCUCACGGCCACCGGCUUCGGCUGGUGAGUGCUCGCCAGAGAAAACCCAAACCCAAACUUUUUUAGUGUUGUCUGAGAACUAAGUUUAAUUAUUAAAA